RNAcentral lists this ribosomal RNA (345 nucleotides) under uncultured eukaryote. Its description in RNAcentral is "SSU rRNA". It matches the Rfam family "Eukaryotic small subunit ribosomal RNA", at positions 594 to 945 of the family's 1831-position model. The record is from RNAcentral.
AUAGCGUAUAUUAAAGUUGUUGCAGUUAAAAAGCUCGUAGUUGAAUUUUUGAUCUGGCUAAGGUGUCGGCCGCAAGGUCUGUACUCCUUGGCUGGAUCUUUCCUUCUGGAGAGCCAUUACGCCAUUUAUUUGGUGUUUUGGGGAUCCAGGACUUUUACCUUGAAAAAAUUAGAGUGUUUAAAGCAGGCAUACGCUUGAAUACAUUAGCAUGGAAUAAUAGAAUAGGACUUUGGUUCUAUUUUGUUGGUUUCUAGGACCGAAGUAAUGAUUAAUAGGGAUAGUUGGGGGCAUUAGUAUUUAAUUGUCAGAGGUGAAAUUCUUGGAUUUAUGAAAGACUAACUUCUG